UGAGCAAUGGAGGGACGCAGAAGGAUAGAAGAAGCGUGCGAUUGGUUGUGCACGUCCAAGCAGUUAGGCUGAUAAGUAGGCAAAUCCGCUUAUCGCAAAGGCUGAGCUGUGAUGGGGAAGCUCCUUAUGGAGCGAAGUCUUUGAUUCCCCGCUGCCAAGAAAAGCUUCUAGCGAGAUAAAAGGUGCCUGUACCGCAAACCGACACAGGUAGGCGAGGAGAGAAUCCUAAGGUGUGCGAGAGAACUCUGGUUAAGGAACUCGGCAAAAUGACCCCGUAACUUCGGGAGAAGGGGUGCUUUCUUAACGGAAAGCCGCAGUGAAUAGGCCCAAGCGACUGUUUAGCAAAAACACAGCUCUCUGCGAAGCCGUAAGGCGAAGUAUAGGGGGUGACACCUGCCCGGUGCUGGAAGGUUAAGGAGAGGGGUUAGCGUAAGCGAAGCUCUGAACUGAAGCCCCAGUAAACGGCGGCCGUAACUAUAACGGUCCUAAGGUAGCGAAAUUCCUUGUCGGGUAAGUUCCGACCCGCACGAAAGGUGUAACGAUUUGGGCACUGUCUCAACCAGAGACUCGGUGAAAUUAUAGUACCUGUGAAGAUGCAGGUUACCCGCGACAGGACGGAAAGACCCCGUGGAGCUUUACUGUAGCCUGAUAUUGAAUUUUGGUACAGUUUGUACAGGAUAGGCGGGAGCCAUUGAAACCGGAGCGCUAGCUUCGGUGGAGGCGCUGGUGGGAUACCGCCCUGACUGUAUUGAAAUUCUAACCUACGGGUCUUAUCGACCCGGGAGACAGUGUCAGGUGGGCAGUUUGACUGGGGCGGUCGCCUCCUAAAGUGUAACGGAGGCGCCCAAAGGUUCCCUCAGAAUGGUUGGAAAUCAUUCGUAGAGUGCAAAGGCAUAAGGGAGCUUGACUGCGAGACCUACAAGUCGAGCAGGGACGAAAGUCGGGCUUAGUGAUCCGGUGGUUCCGCAUGGAAGGGCCAUCGCUCAACGGAUAAAAGCUACCCCGGGGAUAACAGGCUUAUCUCCCCCAAGAGUCCACAUCGACGGGGAGGUUUGGCACCUCGAUGUCGGCUCAUCGCAUCCUGGGGCUGUAGUCGGUCCCAAGGGUUGGGCUGUUCGCCCAUUAAAGCGGUACGCGAGCUGGGUUCAGAACGUCGUGAGACAGUUCGGUCCCUAUCCGUCGUGGGCGUAGGAAAUUUGAGAGGAGCUGUCCUUAGUACGAGAGGACCGGGAUGGACGCACCGCUGGUGUACCAGUUGUUCUGCCAAGGGCAUAGCUGGGUAGCUAUGUGCGGAAGGGAUAAGUGCUGAAAGCAUCUAAGCAUGAAGCCCCCCUCAAGAUGAGAUUUCCCAUAGCGUAAGCUAGUAAGAUCCCUGAAAGAUGAUCAGGUUGAUAGGUUCGAGGUGGAAGCAUGGUGACAUGUGGAGCUGACGAAUACUAAUAGAUCGAGGACUUAACCAU
This 1460-nucleotide ribosomal RNA is filed under the name Bacillus cereus VD169. Its description in RNAcentral is "bacterial LSU rRNA". It matches the Rfam family "Bacterial large subunit ribosomal RNA", at positions 1458 to 2925 of the family's 2925-position model. The record is from RNAcentral. Lineage: Bacteria; Bacillati; Bacillota; Bacilli; Caryophanales; Bacillaceae.